RNAcentral lists this ribosomal RNA (216 nucleotides) under Glomeromycotina sp. RNAcentral's name for it is "partial small subunit ribosomal RNA". The stretch from base 40 to 216 matches the Rfam family "Eukaryotic small subunit ribosomal RNA", at positions 686 to 864 of the family's 1831-position model. Lineage: Eukaryota; Fungi; Glomeromycota. The record is from RNAcentral.
GGGUCAGUAGGUUGGUCGUGCCACCGGUACGUACUGGUCUCACUGAUUCCUCCUUCCUGAAGAACCGUAAUGCCAUUAAUUUGGUGUUGCGGGGAAACAGGACUGUUACUUUGAGAAGAUUAGAGUGUUUAAAGCAAGCUAACGCUUGAAUACAUUAGCAUGGAAUAAUGAAAUAGGACGAUCGAUCCUAUUUUGUUGGUUUCUAGGAUUGACGUA